RNA transcript from Mus musculus (house mouse), 3153 nucleotides. It is a transcript of the gene named coiled-coil domain containing 163, with no coding region annotated. The transcript is spliced from 7 exons. The record is from RefSeq and is marked validated. NCBI's taxonomy places the organism in Eukaryota, Metazoa, Chordata, Mammalia, Rodentia, Muridae.
UCUGGAAGACUCCGUGUCCCGACGAGCUUCACGGGAGGUGUGAGUGUGAACGCACAGGGCACGUAUUUCCAGGGAAACGUAUUUCCGCCCUCUAUUGCCUGUGGUCUCCGCAAGAAGCGGACUCAGUUUCCCGGGUGGCGCUGCGGCACCGGUACUUAAAAUCUCAUUCUCCGCCUACCAGAGUUUGAACUCUUGAGCGGCACUUGUCACUUGUCUCAGUGGUGAUAGCGUCCUUGAUUUGUGGAGGUCUCAACCAAAAUUCGGUUCAUUCUACCCUCUCGAUAUUAUUCUGUUUUCUUCCCCCCUCCCCGACCCCCCACUUUUCAAAGUACUCUGUUCCGUAGUUCUAGAUUCACAGUAUUGCUAUCGCACUGUUUCUGUAGCCCUAAUAUAUUCCCACUUUCCUUAUUUCCAUCUAACUCUGUGGCUUGUCCUGGGCUGGCCCGCGGGUAUCUGAGUGUGGAAGAGCAAGAACAGGGAAAGUUAGAGACGCAAUUUCAAGUGCUCCAGGAUGAACAGGAGCCCUAGCUGGUCUGAUCAGCUUCAUGCGGUUCUCAGUUCAACUGAUGAAAAUAUGGCCCGGAUUAAGCAGAGUUUGUAUCCCUUUCGAGUUUCCUCUACAGACAGACCCUGCUCUUGUCCCUUCCCUAUUCCCACAAUAGGGGACCUGGCUGACACCUGGACUUCUCAUCGCUUACCUCCUCAGCCAGAGGCCCAAGCUCAACAGCCUUGGGCUCUAAAGACUCCCACUCUUGGAGAGAGACUGAGCUGUACUGAAGCCCACAGCUCCUCUCUCUGGGAUGAAGUUACUAAACUCCGAUCCCAGCUUCAGGCUCAGGCUCAGGUGACUGAGGCGCUGAAGCAUUCUGUACAGAGCCUGUUGAAGGAUCGGGAGCAACAUAUGUUCAAGAUCAGUGCUCUAGAAGCAUCACUAAAACUGCUGCAGGAGGGCCCCAAAGGGAGAGCCCUUCUGGAGCAAUGCCUGGAAGGGCUGAAAAAGGAACUGCAGGGCCUUCGGAGUCAGGUUCAAGAGCUAGUCCAAAACCAAAUGAAAGCAAGACCAGGAAAGUUGGGUCCUGCCAGUGGCUUUCACCAAGAGCUGCAGAGUGAGCCAACAUCAGGAGUUGUUGCUGGAACAAAUAGCUAAAGGGCCCCAGGUUCAGGCCCGCAGCUGGAAGGUAGGACAGGGUUAGAUCGGACUCCACAUAGUUCGUCCUGAGUCCCCAUCCUUGCUCUACAGAAAGGGCUUGGAUGUCUUCUCCCACCUCCAUCUCUCUUUCAUUAUUUCCCUUGCUGACUCCACAUCUCUCCAAAGCAGUUCUUCCCAGUCUCUUUGCUGUAGACAUGAUUCACUGUCCUUGCCCACAUGUAGGUUCUCAUGUGUCAAGGAGGGGGUUGUGGGAGGGAGUUUCCCUUGGAAAGAGAGAGAUUUAGCCCUCCCUCUGCACCUCGGUCUGGCAGAAGUUGGAGCACCUGCAGAGUGACCAGAUGGACAGGGUUCAUACCUUGGAGGUUUCCAGUACAGAGGCCCAUGAUGCCCAGAAGGAAGAGCCCUACCUCCUCAGGUCAGAUGUGUGUGCUGGGCUGUUACAGGGGGUUUGUGUUGUAGAGGUCAAGCAAAGUUCAGCUACCCUAAAUUUGGCCAAAAUUGGUUAGGGUGGUCAGUCUGAGUAUCUGGGUUUAUAUUCAUAAGAACAGCAUUGGAUAGUCUAGCUUAGGCUGUCUUUGAACUCCUGGUCCUCCUGAUUUACCUCCCAAGUGCAGAUGUUACGGGUAUAUGUUACCAGACUCAGUUUUUUUUUUUUUUUUUUUUUUUUUAUCUAUUUUUAUUGAGAUGGGUGGGUUCCACUGGGUAGCCCAGAUUGGCCUCAAACUCACCAGCCUGCUCUCUUUUGUUUCCUACAAAUGAACAACAAGCGUGUGCUAUUAUGGCCACUAGUAUUACUGAAAUUUUUUUUGUAUUUUUUUUUAAAGAUUUAUUGAUUUAUUAUAUGUAAGUACAUUGUAGCUGUCUUCAGAUACUCCAGAAGAGGGAGUCAGAUCUCGUUACGGAUGGUUGUGAGCCACCAUGUGGUUGCUGAGAUUUGAACUCUGGACCUUCGGAAGAGCAGUCGGGUGCUCUUACCCACUGAGCCAUCUCACCAGCCCUUUUUUUUUUUGUAUUCUAUUUAUUUAUUUAGUCUGCUUACUUGUGGGCAUAUGUAGCAUGAAGUGCAUGUGGAGGUCAGAGGUCUGAUAGGAUUCGGUUCUCUCCUUCUACUGUAUGGGUUUUGAGGAUCAGCCUCAAGUUGUUAAGCUUGGUGACAAGCAUGUUUAUCAGCUGAGCAACCUUGCUGGCCCCAGUAUUAGGCAUUCUUCAUUUGAUUCAGAGUUGUGAGAUAUAUAUAUAUACAUAUAUAUAUAUAUAUAUAUACACACACACACACAUACAUAUAUACAUAUAUAUAUAAUUAUCUGUAUAUAUUUUAUUUAUAUGAGUACAUUGUAGCUGUCUUCAGACACACCAGAAGAGGACAUUGGAUCCCAUUACAGAUGGUUGUAAGCUAUCAUGUGGUUGCUGGGAAUUGAACUUAGGACCUUUGGAAGAGCAGUCAGUACUCUUAACUGCUGAGCCAUCCCUCCACCACAGUGACAUAUCUUUACAUGUCUGAUCAAUAGUGGAGGGGGUGGGGUGGACUCCUGGCCUCAGAACAGAAGGUUUUAUGCUGGAAGAGUAUCCUAGGUCCAUCCUCUGCUUCUGACUGUUCUCUCUAGGAACUCCGUUCCUGCCCAGCAGUCAAAGCUGCCUCUGGCACGAGCUUUCACCAUGUCUCUUUCUUCAUCCAGCUCUGAAGUCAGUCUCCCAGACUGUGGCCGUAGCUGGGAACUUUUAAAGAAAUUGGAUAGGGAACUCCAGAACAACUCCCUUCCUAACCUGGAACCCAGCAGCUCUCAGUUCCAUGCCUGGAGUCUAGGGCAAGAGGACCUGUUCCUUGAGGGCCCCACGAUCUUCCAGAGUGACCUGUAAGAACUUGUGAGAAAAAUGAGGUGCAGCUUCUAUCCCAGGCAGCCUCCUCAUCCUCUCCGUUCAUGCCCUCUUUACCGAGGCAUCGCACUGUGCAGCCAGUCCUUCUCCCUGGCUAAUUCAAAAUAAAGUAGCUUCAUUCUCCCUGA